Molecule: ribosomal RNA, 245 nt
Filed under: uncultured bacterium
Lineage: Bacteria
Description: partial small subunit ribosomal RNA
Rfam family: Bacterial small subunit ribosomal RNA
Source: RNAcentral
AGAACGAACGCUGGCGGCGUGGAUAAGACAUGCAAGUCGCACGAGAAAGGGACUUCGGUCCUGAGUACAGUGGCGCACGGGUGAGUAACACGUGAAUAAUCUACCUCCGAGUGGGGAAUAACUGAGAGAAAUCUUAGCUAAUACCGCAUAACACUUACGAGUCAAAGCAGCAAUGCGCUUGGAGAGGAGUUCGCGGCAGAUUAGUUAGUUGGCGGGGUAAUGGCCCACCAAGACGAUGAUCUGUA